This 441-nucleotide ribosomal RNA is filed under the name uncultured bacterium. RNAcentral's name for it is "partial 16S ribosomal RNA". It matches the Rfam family "Bacterial small subunit ribosomal RNA", at positions 338 to 795 of the family's 1533-position model. The record is from RNAcentral.
CCUACGGGUGGCAGCAGUCGGGAAUAUUGCGCAAUGGAGGAAACUCUGACGCAGUGACGCCGCGUGCGGGAAGACGGUCCUCGGAUUUUUAAAUGACUUUGACCGGGAACAAAAAUGACGGUACCUGUAGAAUAAGCUCCGGCUAACUACGUGCCAGCAGCCGCGGUAAUACGUAGGGAGCAAGCGUUAUCCGGAUUUACUGGGUGGAAAGGGUGCGUAGACGGGGAAGCAAGUUAGUUGGGAAAUCCCCCGGCUUAACUGAGGAACCGCAACUAAAACUACUGCCCUUGAGUACAGGAGAGGAAAGUGGAAUUCCUAGUGUAGCGGUGAAAUGCGUAGAUAUUAGGAGGAACACCAGUGGCGAAGGCGACUUUCUGGACAUUAACUGACGUUGAGGCACGAAAGUGUGGGGAGCAAACAGGAUUAGAUACCCGAGUAGUC